UACGGAGGGUGCGAGCGUUGUCCGGAAUCAUUGGGCGUAAAGGGCGCGUAGGUGGCCCGGUCAGUCGAUGGUGAAAGCGCGGGGCUCAACUCCGCGUCGGCCGUCGAUACUGCUGGGCUUGAGCACUGUAGAGGCAGGCGGAAUUCCGGGUGUAGCGGUGGAAUGCGUAGAGAUCCGGAAGAACACCGGUGGCGAAGGCGGCCUGCUGGGCAGUGGCUGACACUGAGGCGCGGCAGCGUGGGGAGCAAACAGG
RNAcentral lists this ribosomal RNA (253 nucleotides) under uncultured bacterium. RNAcentral's name for it is "partial 16S ribosomal RNA". It matches the Rfam family "Bacterial small subunit ribosomal RNA", at positions 524 to 776 of the family's 1533-position model. The record is from RNAcentral.